RNAcentral lists this ribosomal RNA (156 nucleotides) under uncultured Flavobacterium sp. RNAcentral's name for it is "partial 16S ribosomal RNA". It matches the Rfam family "Bacterial small subunit ribosomal RNA", at positions 374 to 526 of the family's 1533-position model. Lineage: Bacteria; Pseudomonadati; Bacteroidota; Flavobacteriia; Flavobacteriales; Flavobacteriaceae. The record is from RNAcentral.
GACGCGAGUCUGGACCAGCCAUGCCGCGUGCAGGAUGACGGUCCUAUGGAUUGUAAACUGCUUUUGUACGAGGAGAAACACUCCUACGUGUAGGAAUUUGACGGUAUCGUAAGAAUAAGGAUCGGCUAACUCCGUGCCAGCAGCCGCGGUAAUAAU